This 2895-nucleotide ribosomal RNA is filed under the name Xanthomonas arboricola. RNAcentral's name for it is "bacterial LSU rRNA". It matches the Rfam family "Bacterial large subunit ribosomal RNA". Lineage: Bacteria; Pseudomonadati; Pseudomonadota; Gammaproteobacteria; Lysobacterales; Lysobacteraceae. RNAcentral also lists the same sequence under 3 other names. The record is from RNAcentral.
GUUAUAUGGUCAAGCGAAUAAGCGCACACGGUGGAUGCCUAGGCGGUCAGAGGCGAUGAAGGACGUGGUAGCCUGCGAAAAGUGUCGGGGAGCUGGCAACAAGCUUUGAUCCGGCAAUGUCCGAAUGGGGAAACCCACUGCUUCGGCAGUAUCCUGCAGUGAAUUCAUAGCUGCUGGAAGCGAACCCGGUGAACUGAAAUAUCUAAGUAACCGGAGGAAAAGAAAUCAACCGAGAUUCCCUAAGUAGUGACGAGCGAACGGGGAGCAGCCCUUAAGCUGGAAUGGCUUUAGAAAAACAAUCUGGAAAGAUUGGCCAUAGAAGGUGAUAGCCCUGUAUUUAAAAGGGCCACUCCAGUGAAGACGAGUAGGGCGGGGCACGUGAAACCCUGUCUGAAUAUGGGGGGACCAUCCUCCAAGGCUAAAUACUCCUGACCGACCGAUAGUGAACCAGUACCGUGAGGGAAAGGCGAAAAGAACCCCGGAGAGGGGAGUGAAAUAGAUCCUGAAACCGUGUGCGUACAAGCAGUAGGAGCUCGCAAGAGUGACUGCGUACCUUUUGUAUAAUGGGUCAGCGACUUACUGUUCGUGGCAAGCUUAACCGUAUAGGGGAGGCGAAGGGAAACCGAGUCUGAUAAGGGCGCAUAGUCGCGGGCAGUAGACCCGAAACCGGGUGAUCUAGUCAUGGCCAGGGUGAAGGUGCCGUAACAGGUACUGGAGGCCCGAACCCACGUCUGUUGCAAAAGACGGGGAUGAGCUGUGAUUAGGAGUGAAAAGCUAAUCGAACCCGGAGAUAGCUGGUUCUCCUCGAAAGCUAUUUAGGUAGCGCCUCGGACGAAUACUACUGGGGGUAGAGCACUGUUAUGGCUAGGGGGUCAUCGCGACUUACCAAACCAUUGCAAACUCCGAAUACCAGUACGUACUAUCCGGGAGACACACGGCGGGUGCUAACGUCCGUCGUGAAAAGGGAAACAACCCAGACCCACAGCUAAGGUCCCAAAUUCACUGCUAAGUGGAAAACGAUGUGGAAAGGCAUAGACAGCCAGGAGGUUGGCUUAGAAGCAGCCACCCUUUAAAGAAAGCGUAAUAGCUCACUGGUCGAGUCGGUCUGCGCGGAAGAUUUAACGGGGCUAAGCAGUGAACCGAAGCUUGGGGUGCAUAAAACUUGUUUUAUGCGCGGUAGAGGAGCGUUCCGUAAGCCUGCGAAGGUGGAUUGAGAAGUCUGCUGGAGGUAUCGGAAGUGCGAAUGCUGACAUGAGUAACGAUAAUGCGGGUGAAAAGCCCGCACGCCGAAAGCCCAAGGUUUCCUUGCGCAACGUUAAUCGACGCAGGGUUAGUCGGUCCCUAAGGCGAGGGCGAAAGCCGUAGUCGAUGGGAAGCAGGUUAAUAUUCCUGCACCUCGCGUGAGUGCGAUGGAGGGACGGAGAAGGUUAGGUGUACCGGGCGUUGGUUGUCCCGGGGAAAGGCGGUAGGUUUGGAUCUUUGGCAAAUCCGGGAUCCUUUAAGACCGAGCACCGAGACGAGCCUUUAUGGCGAAGUCACUGAUACCACGCUUCCAGGAAAAGCUCCUAAGCUUCAGCUCACGAAGACCGUACCGUAAACCGACACAGGUGGGUAGGAUGAGAAUUCUCAGGCGCUUGAGAGAACUCGGGUGAAGGAACUAGGCAACAUGGCACCGUAACUUCGGGAGAAGGUGCACCCUUUUUGGUGGCUCAUGCGAGCUAUAGCUGAAGAGGGUCGCAGAAACCAGGCCGCUGCGACUGUUUAUCAAAAACACAGCACUCUGCAAACACGAAAGUGGACGUAUAGGGUGUGACGCCUGCCCGGUGCUGGAAGGUUAAUUGAUGGGGUCAGCCGCAAGGCGAAGCUCUUGAUCGAAGCCCCAGUAAACGGCGGCCGUAACUAUAACGGUCCUAAGGUAGCGAAAUUCCUUGUCGGGUAAGUUCCGACCUGCACGAAUGGCGUAACGACAGCGGCGCUGUCUCCACCCGAGACUCAGUGAAAUUGAAAUCGCUGUGAAGAUGCAGCGUUCCCGUGGCAAGACGGAAAGACCCCGUGAACCUUUACUAUAGCUUUACACUGAACGUUGAGUUCGUCUGUGUAGGAUAGGUGGGAGGCUAUGAAACUGUGGCGCUAGCUGCAGUGGAGCCAUCCUUGAAAUACCACCCUGUCGUGCUUGACGUUCUAACCUAGAUCCGUUAUCCGGAUCAGGGACCGUGUAUGGUGGGUAGUUUGACUGGGGCGGUCUCCUCCUAAAGAGUAACGGAGGAGCACGAAGGUACGCUCAGCGCGGUCGGACAUCGCGCACUGUGUGCAAAGGCAUAAGCGUGCUUGACUGCAAGAUCGACGGAUCAAGCAGGUACGAAAGUAGGUCUUAGUGAUCCGGUGGUUCUGUAUGGAAGGGCCAUCGCUCAACGGAUAAAAGGUACUCCGGGGAUAACAGGCUGAUACCGCCCAAGAGUUCAUAUCGACGGCGGUGUUUGGCACCUCGAUGUCGGCUCAUCACAUCCUGGGGCUGUAGUCGGUCCCAAGGGUAUGGCUGUUCGCCAUUUAAAGUGGUACGCGAGCUGGGUUCAGAACGUCGUGAGACAGUUCGGUCCCUAUCUGCCAUGGGCGUUGGAAGUUUGAGAGGGGCUGCUCCUAGUACGAGAGGACCGGAGUGGACGAACCUCUGGUGUUCCGGUUGUCACGCCAGUGGCAUUGCCGGGUAGCUAUGUUCGGAAGCGAUAACCGCUGAAAGCAUCUAAGCGGGAAGCGCGCCUCAAGAUGAGACUUCCCGGGGCACAAGCCCCCUAAAGGAACCAUAUAGACUAUGUGGUUGAUAGGUCAGGUGUGUAAGUACAGCAAUGUAUUGAGCUAACUGAUACUAAUGAUCCGUGCGGCUUGACCAUAUAACCU